AGGUCGCCACGAGUUCGCAGCAUUUUUCGGUAAAUUUUUCGAGUUCCCGAGCUAUUUUUAAGGAAAUUUUGAAGUUUUGUUGGAAAUUAAAUUAUCUGGCGACGUGGCGUGUCCUUAUUGGUUGAUAGGCUUAACUUGGAGACCAAGUAGCAGCUGCCAAACGUGUCUUGCAUGUGCAAGAUCAGUUUGACACAUGUCAAGUGGUGGCACUAUGUUUGUUAUAUGCUUGACAAAUGGCAUAAGCAUGAUGAUGGAUGGUUUUGGUUUGGACAAGUGGCCUAUUUCUAUUGGUGUUCUUUCCCUAUAAAUAGAACCCAACCAGAUCAUUAUUUCCCCACAAUUUUCGGAGCUUUCUCUCUCCUACAUUUCUCUCUUCCAUUUUCUCUCUCUAGGAUUUGUUUUUGGCAUAACUUUUGAUCCGUAAGUCCGAUUUAGGAUCCGUUUUCGCCUACGGAUUCGUCUUGACGAGCUCUUUCUAUUGGUGGAAAGAAAAUUCAGAUUUGGUGAAACUAUUUUUUGACGACCUAGGAGGCUUGAUUUUAUUUUGUAUCAUCCACGAUUGUCGAAAAUAAGAUUUUGCAGGUAUGGAAUCAAGAUACUAGAGCAAGAAGUUCCGAUAUGUAUAUAAUGUCAAAUGGGUUGUGAAAUUUGUGUUUUCUUUAUGUUUGUUUGGAAUAAAGAAUGAGUACUAGUGUACUAUGUGAUAAAGACAAUGUAAUAUAUGUUUCCGCUGGAA
Long non-coding RNA from Rosa chinensis, 736 nucleotides. RefSeq lists it as uncharacterized. The record is from RefSeq and is a predicted model, not a curated record. The transcript is spliced from 2 exons. Lineage: Eukaryota; Viridiplantae; Streptophyta; Magnoliopsida; Rosales; Rosaceae.